GACGAACGCUGGCGGCGUGCUUAACACAUGCAAGUCGAGCGGUAAGGCCCUUUCGGGGUACACGAGCGGCGAACGGGUGAGUAACACGUGGGUGACCUGCCCUCAGCUCUGGGAUAAGCCUGGGAAACCGGGUCUAAUACUGGAUAUGACUCCAUGACGCAUGUUGUGGGGUGGAAAGCCUUGUGCGGCUGAGGAUGGGCCCGCGGCCUAUCAGCUUGUUGGUGGGGUGAGGCCUACCAAGGUGACGACGGGUAGCCGGCCUGAGAGGGCGACCGGCCACACUGGGACUGAGACACGGCCCAGACUCCUACGGGAGGCAGCAGUGGGGAAUCUUGCGCAAUGGGCGAAAGCCUGACGCAGCGACGCCGCGUGAGGGAUGACGGCCU
Molecule: ribosomal RNA, 386 nt
Filed under: uncultured bacterium
Lineage: Bacteria
Description: bacterial SSU rRNA
Rfam family: Bacterial small subunit ribosomal RNA
Source: RNAcentral